This is a non-coding RNA of Homo sapiens (human), 83 nucleotides long. The record is from Rfam. NCBI's taxonomy places the organism in Eukaryota, Metazoa, Chordata, Mammalia, Primates, Hominidae.
GGUAGAGUGAGCUCUAAUCCAAUAUUACUAGCUUCUUUAUAAGAAGAGGAAACUAGUAAUGUUGGAUUAGGGCUCACUCUACU